This 73-nucleotide ribosomal RNA is filed under the name Staphylococcus epidermidis. Lineage: Bacteria; Bacillati; Bacillota; Bacilli; Caryophanales; Staphylococcaceae. The record is from RNAcentral. RNAcentral also lists the same sequence under 6 other names.
UCUGGUGACAAUGGCAAGGAGGUCACACCUGUUCCCAUGCCGAACACAGAAGUUAAGCUCCUUAGCGCCGAUG